RNA transcript from Rhinichthys klamathensis goyatoka, 2602 nucleotides. It is a transcript of the gene named protein kinase, AMP-activated, gamma 2 non-catalytic subunit b, with no coding region annotated. The transcript has 16 exons. The record is from RefSeq and is a predicted model, not a curated record. Lineage: Eukaryota; Metazoa; Chordata; Actinopteri; Cypriniformes; Leuciscidae.
GUGCGCAGCUCCGGGCGAAUCGCCUGCUCGAUGCGGGAAUCGAACCCAUGACAGAAGCGGAGUUGAAUGCGGAUGUCCUCCACGGCGCGCUGACACUGAUAACGAACUGGAGUGUCGGGAUGUGCUCGUUUUAAGUCAGACGAGCUUCUGCUAAAUCUCCACAUUACGGACGACGACUUGGGCUAAUCGGUAAACUGGAGUGAAUCAAUUCGCGAGUGGAGCGUGUCCCCCUUCAUAUUAAGAGAAGAAUUAUAACUGCAGAAAAAUGGGAAGUACAGUGAUGGACUCCAAGAAAAAGGAUUGUACUAAGAAAUCCUCAAAGAAAAAGCGAUCUCUGCACCUAAACAUGCCAGAUUUGAGCACAUUUGCAUCCUCUCUUAUGGACGGAGAGACUGACAGAUCAGAUAAAGAUGAAAUACAAAAGGGUGACAGGAGUGACUCAGCUAGCCCAUGUUUGAGGUCUCCUGCCAGUCAGCCCUGUACCCCAGUUUCAGCCCCCAUUUUUCCCAGGACCAGUCCAGGAUCUCCUAAAACCAUCUUCCCACGUCCACUAUCUUCUCACCUGGACUCACCUCCCAAAUCUCCCCGCCGUCUCAGUUUAAGUGGUAUCUUCCGCUCCUCGUCCAGCUCAGCCCCUGCCAGCAUCAAGCUCUUCUCCAGAUCUAGAAAAAGUUCUGGACUUUCGACUCCCCCCACCACCCCGACGCAGAGUCCAGUUCCCCCCGUCUUCCCUAUGGAGACCCCCAGUCCCACGGAGCGUGUGGAGGAACGACGCUCCCGCUCUCUCUCGUCUCCCCCUGACACAGGUCAGCGCUUCAGCCUGAGCACCUCCACCACCAAACCCCCUGUCGCCUUGCACACCUUUAACUCUACCUCACGCCAGAGCGGCGUACUUGCAGAAGGCAUGCUGGAAAAACUUGAACUUGACGAUGAAGCUGCUGAAGAGCCAGACAGUGAUAUUUACAUGCGCUUUAUGAAAUCCCACAAGUGCUAUGACCUCGUCCCCACCAGUUCCAAACUAGUGGUUUUUGACACUACACUAGAGGUAAAGAAAGCUUUUUUUGCCUUGGUUGCUAAUGGAGUUCGAGCUGCCCCAUUAUGGGAAACCAAAAAGCAAAGCUUUGUGGGAAUGUUAACCAUCACAGACUUCAUCAUCAUACUGCACAGAUACUACAAAUCCCCGCUGGUACAAAUAUAUGAGCUGGAGGAGCAUAAAAUUGAGACUUGGAGAGAGCUUUACUUGCAAGAAACUUUUAAACCCUUAGUCAACAUAUCUCCAGAUGCAAGUAUAUUUGAUGCUGUUUACUCACUCAUCAAAAAUAAGAUCCAUCGCUUGCCAGUGAUCGAUCCAGUCACAGGAAACGCCCUGUACAUCCUCACACACAAGAGAAUCCUCAAGUUUCUGCAGCUUUUUGUGUGUGAGAUGCCCAAAGCAGCCUUCAUGAGGCAGACUCUGGAGGAGCUGGGCAUUGGCACGUACAGCAACAUUGCUUUCAUUCACCCAGAUACACCCAUUAUUAAAGCGCUGGGCAUGUUUGUGGACAGGAGAGUGUCUGCCCUGCCAGUGGUGGAUGUUACAGGAAAGGUUGUGGACAUUUACUCCAAAUUUGAUGUCAUUAAUCUGGCUGCUGAAAAGACCUACAAUAAUCUGGACAUCACCGUGACUCAGGCUCUGCUGCAUCGCUCACAGUAUUUUGAGGGUGUUAUGAAGUGUUAUCGGCACGAGACCCUGGACACUAUAGUGGACAGGAUUGUCAAAGCUGAGGUGCACAGGCUGGUAGUGGUGGAUGAGAACUCCAGCAUCGAGGGCAUCAUCUCUCUGUCUGACAUCCUGCAGGCGCUGGUACUCACCCCCGCAGGUAUAGACGCACAGAAUUCCUAAUCCAACCCUACAUUUCACUUUCCUUUUCUCCUCUCCACUCUUCCCCGGACACAAUCUCCUCUCCUCGGACAUCUACCACUCGAGUGUCCCUCUCUGACCCCCUGACCACAGGUAGAUGCAGAAUGGACAGUGUGACUGAAUGACAAGACAUACAACAUUUUUGGAGGCGAAAGAGAAAUUCAAGAAAUUCAGAGAACCAAAAAAGUCCCAGCCUGCAUUCUUGGAUACAGAGAAGAGGACAGCUGAAGGCGUUUUACAUCCUCACUGAAGGGCUGGAAAUUGUGCCGGGCUGAAUGAAAGCGUUUGAAUCUGGAGCGGAAGGAAUGGACAUGUGAUCAUAAUGCACACGUUACUGGACAUGUUUAUGGUGAGCCAUGGUGAGAAUGCGCUGCUGUACUGUACACUGCUUUAAAUGCUGGUUUCAGAGGCCUUCACUGACAGUGCUAUAUCAGGCAUUGUGUUCUAGCUGGGUCUGCGUUAUAUCAUCAGGCACUGAAAUCCACUCCUGGCUGAGUGUUUGACGUGGAGAUUUGCCUUAAAUGAAGACCUCAGUGAGAGUUGAUUGUAUAGGUUAGCAGAGACCCAUAGAUGUGCAUGUAGUGUAAAAGCAGGUUCAAGAUUCUUGAGUAAUAGGCAAACAUCGCUGUUGGUUCAGAGAACCUGCUAGUAAAUGGUGCAAAUGUAGACUGAUUAGACAUGUGGCCAUUAUAUUUCACCUCA